CAGCCGCCACGGUAAAACGGAGGGUGCAAGCGUUAAUCGGAAUUACUGGGCGUAAAGCGCACGCAGGCGGUCUGACAAGUCAGAUGUGAAAUCCCCGGGCUUAACCUGGGAACUGCAUUUGAAACUGUCAGGCUGGAGUCUUGUAGAGGGGGGUAGAAUUCCAGGUGUAGCGGUGAAAUGCGUAGAGAUCUGGAGGAAUACCGGUGGCGAAGGCGGCCCCCUGGACAAAGACUGACGCUCAGGUGCGAAAGCGUGGGGAGCAAACAGGAUUAGAUACCCGAGUAGUCCCUGUCUCUUAUAC
Molecule: ribosomal RNA, 301 nt
Filed under: uncultured bacterium
Lineage: Bacteria
Description: partial 16S ribosomal RNA
Rfam family: Bacterial small subunit ribosomal RNA
Source: RNAcentral